GAGGGUAUAGCUCAGUGGUAAAGCACAUGCUUAGCAUGUGCAGUGUCCUGGGUUUAAUCCCCAGUAGCUCCA
This 72-nucleotide transfer RNA is filed under the name Camelus bactrianus (Bactrian camel). It matches the Rfam family "tRNA". Rfam says of the family: Transfer RNA (tRNA) molecules are approximately 80 nucleotides in length. Their secondary structure includes four short double-helical elements and three loops (D, anti-codon, and T loops). Lineage: Eukaryota; Metazoa; Chordata; Mammalia; Artiodactyla; Camelidae. The record is from Rfam by way of RNAcentral. RNAcentral also lists the same sequence under 1 other name.